UAGUUAAAACUUUCAACAACGGAUCUCUUGGUUCUGGCAUCGAUGAAGAACGCAGCGAAAUGCGAUAAGUAAUGUGAAUUGCAGAAUUCAGUGAAUCAUCGAAUCUUUGAACGCACAUUGCGCCUUCCGGUAUUCCGGAAGGCAUGCCUGUCCGAGCGUCAUUAAAACCCUCAAGCAACGCUUGGUGCUGGGGCCCGCCCGCUGUGGCGCCCCCGAAAAGCAGUGGUUGUCCGGCGAGACUCGAGCGUAGUAAGAUUUUCAAUCCCGCUUGGGAGCUCUCGUGGGGGCGUGCCAGCCAAAACGAAGCCUUAACUUCGACGAUUGACCUCGGAUCAGGUAGGGAUACCCGCUGAACUUAAGCAUAUCAAUAAGCGGAGGAAAAGAAACCAACAGGGAUUGCCUCAGUAACGGCGAGUGAAGCGGCAACAGCUCAAAUUUGAAAUCUGGCCUCCCGAGGUCCGAGUUGUAAUUUGUAGAGGGUGUUUCGGGUAAGGCGCCGGCCUAAGUUCCUUGGAACAGGGCGUCCUAGAGGGUGAGAAUCCCGUAUGCGGCCGGUGACCGAGCCUAUGUGAAACCCCUUCGACGAGUCGGGUUGUUUGGGAAUGCAGCUCUAAAUGGGUGGUAAAUUUCAUCUAAAGCUAAAUACCGGCCAGAGACCGAUAGCGCACAAGUAGAGUGAUCGAAAGAUGAAAAGCACUUUGGAAAGAGAGUUAAAAAGUACGUGAAAUUGUUGAAAGGGAAGCGCUUGCAACCAGACCUGUGUCCGGGUGAUCAGC
This 776-nucleotide ribosomal RNA is filed under the name Texosporium sancti-jacobi. Its description in RNAcentral is "eukaryotic LSU rRNA". The stretch from base 323 to 776 matches the Rfam family "Eukaryotic large subunit ribosomal RNA", at positions 1 to 453 of the family's 3401-position model. Lineage: Eukaryota; Fungi; Ascomycota; Lecanoromycetes; Caliciales; Caliciaceae. The record is from RNAcentral.